RNAcentral lists this ribosomal RNA (274 nucleotides) under uncultured bacterium. Its description in RNAcentral is "partial 16S ribosomal RNA". It matches the Rfam family "Bacterial small subunit ribosomal RNA", at positions 523 to 796 of the family's 1533-position model. The record is from RNAcentral.
AUACGGAGGGUGCAAGCGUUGUUCGGAAUCACUGGGCGUAAAGGGCGCGCAGGCGGUUUGGUAAGUCAGAUGUGAAAGCCCACGGCUCAACCGUGGAAGUGCAUUUGAAACUGCCAGGCUUGAGUACCAGAGGGGAAAGUGGAAUUCCCGGUGUAGAGGUGAAAUUCGUAGAUAUCGGGAGGAAUACCGGUGGCGAAGGCGACUUUCUGGCUGGAUACUGACGCUGAGGCGCGAAAGCGUGGGGAGCAAACAGGAUUAGAAACCCUAGUAGUCC